CACGUGAGUAACCUGCCCUUAACUCUGGGAUAAGCCUGGGAAACUGGGUCUAAUACCGGAUAUGACUCCUCAUCGCAUGGUGGGGGGUGGAAAGCUUUAUUGUGGUUUUGGAUGGACUCGCGGCCUAUCAGCUUGUUGGUGAGGUAAUGGCUCACCAAGGCGACGACGGGUAGCCGGCCUGAGAGGGUGACCGGCCACACUGGGACUGAGACACGGCCCAGACUCCUACGGGAGGCAGCAGUGGGGAAUAUUGCACAAUGGGCGCAAGCCUGAUGCAGCGACGCCGCGUGAGGGAUGACGGCCUUCGGGUUGUAAACCUCUUUCAGUAGGGAAGAAGCGAAAGUGACGGUACCUGCAGAAGAAGCGCCGGCUAACUACGUGCCAGCAGCCGCGGUAAUACGUAGGGCGCAAGCGUUAUCCGGAAUUAUUGGGCGUAAAGAGCUCGUAGGCGGUUUGUCGCGUCUGCCGUGAAAGUCCGGGGCUCAACUCCGGAUCUGCGGUGGGUACGGGCAGACUAGAGUGAUGUAGGGGAGACUGGAAUUCCUGGUGUAGCGGUGAAAUGCGCAGAUAUCAGGAGGAACACCGAUGGCGAAGGCAGGUCUCUGGGCAUUAACUGACGCUGAGGAGCGAAAGCAUGGGGAGCGAACAGGAUUAGAUACCCUGGUAGUCCAUGCCGUAAACGUUGGGCACUAGGUGUGGGGGACAUUCCACGUUUUCCGCGCCGUAGCUAACGCUUUAAGUGCCCCGCCUGGGGAGUACGGCCGCAAGGCUAAAACUCAAAGGAAUUGACGGGGGCCCGCACAAGCGGCGGAGCAUGCGGAUUAAUUCUGAUGCAACGCGAAGAACCUUACCAAGGCUUGACAUGGACUGGAAACAUCUGGAAACAGGUGCCCCGCUUGCGGCCGGUUCACAGGUGGUGCAUGGUUGUCGUCAGCUCGUGUCGUGAGAUGUUGGGUUAAGUCCCGCAACGAGCGCAACCCUCGUUCCAUGUUGCCAGCGCGUAAUGGCGGGGACUCAUGGGAGACUGCCGGGGUCAACUCGGAGGAAGGUGGGGACGACGUCAAAUCAUCAUGCCCCUUAUGUCUUGGGCUUCACGCAUGCUACAAUGGCCGGUACAAAGGGUUGCGAUACUGUGAGGUGGAGCUAAUCCCAAAAAGCCGGUCUCAGUUCGGAUUGGGGUCUGCAACUCGACCCCAUGAAGUCGGAGUCGCUAGUAAUCGCAGAUCAGCAACGCUGCGGUGAAUACGUUCCCGGGCCUUGUACACAC
RNAcentral lists this ribosomal RNA (1267 nucleotides) under Pseudarthrobacter sulfonivorans. RNAcentral's name for it is "bacterial SSU rRNA". It matches the Rfam family "Bacterial small subunit ribosomal RNA", at positions 114 to 1390 of the family's 1533-position model. The record is from RNAcentral. Lineage: Bacteria; Bacillati; Actinomycetota; Actinomycetes; Micrococcales; Micrococcaceae.